Molecule: ribosomal RNA, 209 nt
Filed under: uncultured fungus
Lineage: Eukaryota; Fungi
Description: partial 18S ribosomal RNA
Source: RNAcentral
CACUCAGACUACAAUCUUCAGACAGAGUUCGAGGGUGUCUUCGGCGGGCGCGGGCCCGGGGGCGUAAGCCCCCCGGCGGCCAGUUAAGGCGGGCCCGCCGAAGCAACAAGGUAAAAUAAACACGGGUGGGAGGUUGGACCCAGAGGGCCCUCACUCGGUAAUGAUCCUUCCGCAGGUUCACCUACGGAAAUCGAAUUCCCGCUGCCACC